AGUCAAAAGAGUUUGAUCCUGGCUCAGGAUGAACGCUGGCGGCGCGCCUAACACAUGCAAGUCGAACGGUUUCCGGAGUUUACUCC
This 86-nucleotide ribosomal RNA is filed under the name Oscillospiraceae bacterium. RNAcentral's name for it is "partial 16S ribosomal RNA". It matches the Rfam family "Bacterial small subunit ribosomal RNA", at positions 1 to 86 of the family's 1533-position model. Lineage: Bacteria; Bacillati; Bacillota; Clostridia; Eubacteriales; Oscillospiraceae. The record is from RNAcentral.